AAAAAGUGUGAAAUCCUACUGAUUGUUUUCUUGUUUUCAGACCAACAAUGAAGAGCGCCUUUUUCAUCCAAGAAGAAUAGAGAGCACAAGGACCAGUGUGGCUUUCUCCUUUUCAGAUCCUACUGAUGAUUUUUACCUCAUCCCUAUUACAAUGUUCAAAGCUGGUCAAAUAUCUCCAAAAUGUUUUAGUGUUACCAAUCACCAAUGUGGAGUUAAACCAUCAUAGGACAACGUUCAAUUAUUUCUUUGUACACUCUAUUUACAGAAAAUUCAAGAAAAAAAAUACAACCUGUUCUGACUAAAAGAAAGCAGUUAUGGCUAAGCAGUUACUUCAACUGAUAUUAACCUUCCACAAGAUAAUAUAUUAAUUGAGUUUAGGCUAAUGAAAGGCAUGGGAUCUCUUCUAAAAGAAUAAUUAAUGUAAGAAUCCCAGUAAGAGACGGAAAUUUUAAAUUUCUCCAAACCAAAAAAGGGGAGUAAUCAUAGAAUACAAGUGAUGCACAAACUGUCUCCAAGAAGGUCAUUUUGUUCACCAAUUUCCAUGCAAAUAUAAUAUCUCCGGGAUCUCGA
This 570-nucleotide unclassified non-coding RNA is filed under the name Hevea brasiliensis (rubber tree). Lineage: Eukaryota; Viridiplantae; Streptophyta; Magnoliopsida; Malpighiales; Euphorbiaceae. The record is from RNAcentral.